This 425-nucleotide ribosomal RNA is filed under the name uncultured bacterium. RNAcentral's name for it is "bacterial SSU rRNA". It matches the Rfam family "Bacterial small subunit ribosomal RNA", at positions 354 to 796 of the family's 1533-position model. The record is from RNAcentral.
GUGGGGAAUAUUGGACAAUGGGCGCAAGCCUGAUCCAGCCAUGCCGCGUGAGUGAUGAAGGCCCUAGGGUUGUAAAGCUCUUUCACCGGAGAAGAUAAUGACGGUAUCCGGAGAAGAAGCCCCGGCUAACUUCGUGCCAGCAGCCGCGGUAAUACGAAGGGGGCUAGCGUUGUUCGGAAUUACUGGGCGUAAAGCGCACGUAGGCGGACAUUUAAGUCAGGGGUGAAAUCCCGGGGCUCAACCCCGGAACUGCCUUUGAUACUGGGUGUCUGGAGUAUGGAAGAGGUAAGUGGAAUUCCGAGUGUAGAGGUGAAAUUCGUAGAUAUUCGGAGGAACACCAGUGGCGAAGGCGGCUUACUGGUCCAUUACUGACGCUGAGGUGCGAAAGCGUGGGGAGCAAACAGGAUUAGAUACCCGAGUAGUCC